RNAcentral lists this ribosomal RNA (359 nucleotides) under uncultured bacterium. Its description in RNAcentral is "bacterial SSU rRNA". It matches the Rfam family "Bacterial small subunit ribosomal RNA", at positions 335 to 692 of the family's 1533-position model. The record is from RNAcentral.
ACUCCUACGGGAGGCAGCAGUAGGGAAUAUUGGGCAAUGGAGGCAACUCUGACCCAGCCAUGCCGCGUGCAGGAUGAAGGCCUUCUGGGUUGUAAACUGCUUUUUUACGGGAAGAAAAAGACCAUGCGUGGUAAACUGACGGUACCGUAAGAAUAAGCACCGGCUAACUCCGUGCCAGCAGCCGCGGUAAUACGGAGGGUGCAAGCGUUGUCCGGAUUUAUUGGGUUUAAAGGGUGCGUAGGCGGCUUAAUAAGUCCGUGGUGAAAUCCAACAGCUCAACUGUUGAACUGCCAUGGAUACUGUUAGGCUUGAGUACAGACGAGGUAGGCGGAAUGGAUAGUGUAGCGGUGAAAUGCAUA